CCCUUAGAUGUUCUGGGCUGCACGCGCGCUACACUGGUUCGUUCAGCGAGUUUAGCACCUUAACAGAUAUGUUUGGGUAAUCUUCUGAAAACGCACCGUGAUGGGGAUCGAUUAUUGUAAUUAUUAAUCGUCAACGAGGAAUUCCUAGUAAGUGUGAAUCAUCAGUUCGCGCUGAUUACGUCCCUGCCCUUUGUACACACCGCCCGUCGCUGCUACCGAUUGAGUGGUCCGGUGAAUUAUUCGGACCGGUGGACUGUGGGGAAACCCGCGGCCUGCUGGGAAGUCUUGUGAACCUUAUCACUUAGAGGAAGCAGAAGUCGUAACA
This 325-nucleotide ribosomal RNA is filed under the name uncultured eukaryote. Its description in RNAcentral is "partial 18S ribosomal RNA". It matches the Rfam family "Eukaryotic small subunit ribosomal RNA", at positions 1470 to 1796 of the family's 1831-position model. The record is from RNAcentral.